RNAcentral lists this ribosomal RNA (481 nucleotides) under uncultured bacterium. RNAcentral describes it as "partial 16S ribosomal RNA". It matches the Rfam family "Bacterial small subunit ribosomal RNA", at positions 28 to 507 of the family's 1533-position model. The record is from RNAcentral.
GAUGAACGCUGGCGGCGUGCUUAACACAUGCAAGUCGAACGAAGCAUUUGCGACAGAUUUUUUCGGAAUGAAGUUGCUUAUGACUGAGUGGCGGACGGGUGAGUAACGCGUGGGUAACCUGCCUUGUACUGGGGGAUAGCAGCUGGAAACGGCUGGUAAUACCGCAUAAGCGCACAAUGUUUCAUGACAUGGUGUGAAAAACUCCGGUGGUAUAAGAUGGACCCGCGUCUGAUUAGCUAGUUGGUGAGAUAACAGCCCACCAAGGCGACGAUCAGUAGCCGACCUGAGAGGGUGACCGGCCACAUUGGGACUGAGACACGGCCCAGACUCCUACGGGAGGAAGCAGUGGGGAAUAUUGCACAAUGGAGGAAACUCUGAUGCAGAGACGCCGCGUGAGUGAAGAAGUAAUUCGUUAUGUAAAGCUCUAUCAGCAGGGAAGAUAGUGACGGUACCUGACUAAGAAGCUCCGGCUAAAUACGUG